AGUGGCGAACGGGUGAGUAACACGUGAGCAACCUGCCCCGAAGACCGGGAUAACACCGGGAAACCGGUGCUAAUACCGGAUAUCUUCGCCGGACCGCAUGAUCCGGCGAGGAAAUGGUCUGCCGCUUCGGGAUGGGCUCGCGGCCUAUCAGCUUGUUGGUGGGGUAACGGCCCACCAAGGCGACGACGGGUAGCUGGUCUGAGAGGAUGUCCAGCCACACUGGGACUGAGACACGGCCCAGACUCCUACGGGAGGCAGCAGUGGGGAAUCUUGCGCAAUGGGCGAAAGCCUGACGCAGCGACGCCGCGUGCGGGAUGAAGGCCUUCGGGUUGUAAACCGCUUUCAGCAGGGACGAAAUUGACGGUACCUGCAGAAGAAGCCCCGGCCAACUACGUGCCAGCAGCCGCGGUAAUACGUAGGGGGCGAGCGUUGUCCGGAUUUAUUGGGCGUAAAGAGCUCGUAGGCGGUUGGGCAAGUCACGUGUGAAAUCUCCACGCUCAACGUGGAGGCGCCACGUGAGACUGCCCUGACUGGAGUCCGGUAGGGGAGCGUGGAAUUCCCGGUGUAGCGGUGAAAUGCGCAGAGAUCGGGAGGAACACCCGUAGCGAAGGCGGCGCUCUGGGCCGGUAC
Molecule: ribosomal RNA, 630 nt
Filed under: uncultured bacterium
Lineage: Bacteria
Description: bacterial SSU rRNA
Rfam family: Bacterial small subunit ribosomal RNA
Source: RNAcentral